RNAcentral lists this ribosomal RNA (371 nucleotides) under uncultured fungus. RNAcentral's name for it is "eukaryotic LSU rRNA". The stretch from base 316 to 371 matches the Rfam family "Eukaryotic large subunit ribosomal RNA", at positions 1 to 56 of the family's 3401-position model. Lineage: Eukaryota; Fungi. The record is from RNAcentral.
GUGAGUCAUUGAGUCUUUGAACGCAUCUUGCACCAUAUGAGCAAUUGUAUGGUAUACCUGUUUGAGAAUCGUAAAGACCCACUUCCUCUCGGUUGAGAGGAGAAUUGUCGGUUGUCGGCAUAUAAUGUGUUGACUCUGAUUAAAAGCAGAAGGUCUGUGACCAAGCUAGUGGCUUGGGACAUUGUGUGCUAGGAGCGACUGCGGUUGAGUUCUCUCGACAUGCAAGUCUUCUCACAAUGCGUCCUAAGCCCUUUGAAAAGCUGGCUUGGUUACGGCCUACACAGUGCUAUUUCGAUAGUACAACUUUACCCUCUUUGAUCUCAAAUCAGGUAAGACUACCCGCUGAACUUAAGCAUAUCAAUAAGCGGAGG